UACGUAGGGUGCGAGCGUUGCCCGGAUUUAUUGGGCGUAAAGGGCGCGUAGGCGGCCACGCACGUCCGUUGUGAAAUCGCUCGGCUCAACUGAGGAACUGCCUUUGAAACUGCAAGGCUUGAGGCCGGGAGGGGGUAGCGGAAUUCCCAAUGUAGCGGUGAAAUGCGUAGAUAUUGGGAGGAACACCAGUGGCGAAGGCGGCUACCUGGACCGGUUCUGACGCUGAGGCGCGAAAGCGUGGGUAGCAAACAGG
This 253-nucleotide ribosomal RNA is filed under the name uncultured bacterium. RNAcentral's name for it is "partial 16S ribosomal RNA". It matches the Rfam family "Bacterial small subunit ribosomal RNA", at positions 524 to 776 of the family's 1533-position model. The record is from RNAcentral.